This 468-nucleotide ribosomal RNA is filed under the name uncultured bacterium. RNAcentral describes it as "partial 16S ribosomal RNA". It matches the Rfam family "Bacterial small subunit ribosomal RNA", at positions 28 to 507 of the family's 1533-position model. The record is from RNAcentral.
GACGAACGCUGGCGGCGUGCUUAACACAUGCAAGUCGAACGGAAAGGCCCUGCUUUUGUGGGGUGCUCGAGUGGCGAACGGGUGAGUAACACGUGAGUAACCUGCCCUUGACUUUGGGAUAACUUCAGGAAACUGGGGCUAAUACCGGAUAGGAGCUCCUGCUGCAUGGUGGGGGUUGGAAAGUUUCGGCGGUUGGGGACGGACUCGCGGCUUAUCAGCUUGUUGGUGGGGUAGUGGCUUACCAAGGCUUUGACGGGUAGCCGGCCUGAGAGGGUGACCGGCCACAUUGGGACUGAGAUACGGACCAGACUCCUACGGGAGGCAGCAGUGGGGAAUCUUGCACAAUGGGCGGAAGCCUGAUGCAGCAACGCCGCGUGCGGGAUGACGGCCUUCGGGUUGUAAACCGCUUUCGCCUGUGACGAAGCGUGAGUGACGGUAAUGGGUAAAGAAGCACCGGCUAACUACGUG